UACUCUCUCGUUGCCGAAGUUCUCUUUUCGUUACAGUUUCAUUAGUCUGCUGCUAUAUAUAUCUUGCUUUUGUUUCUCUCUACAUUUUAGUUUUCAUUAUCAUAUCAAAUGGCUGAAAUGAAAGAUUGCCACCACCACGUAGUGGAAAUUCCGGUUGACGAAGAGCACCAGCAGAAGCUCUCGUCCGCCAUGACCAUCAUAUCCGCAAUCCAGCACCACCCAUUGACGGAAAUCUCCGAGAGCCCCGGCCAUUUGCUUCUUCUCAAGCUCUGGCGAAGAGAAGAAGACCUCUUCGGCCGGCGGAUCGCUCGGAGAGAGACCCGAAUGGAUCUCAUCCGCCGUGAAAUCUUUCAGCUCUGUUGCUUCUUCUUGAUAUUUCAUGCCUUUUUCCUGACCAUCUUGUUCACUUCUUCGGUUAGCUCCGAGGAGGGGACGUGCCAGAAGUGGUGGAUUCCAAGCAUUCUUUCGGUUUCGACUUCUGUCGUGUUUGUGGUACUUGUGCAGGUGAGUCUGUGGAGGUACUGGAAGGUGUGGGGACAGUUGCAGAGGGAGAAGAGUGAGAAUCGAGCUCUGGUGAGGUGCAUUCAGGAGUUGAGGAUGAAGGGAGCGAGCUUUGAUCUAUCCAAGGAGCCGCAGAGCGGGAAGAGGAUGAAGAGCUCGAGUGUCGAGAUCAAGUGGAAGCCCAUCACUUGGGGCUCGCAGAACUUGAUCACCAUCUGCCUGGUUUGCUUUGCAGGUUUGGUGUUUCCUGCCUCCAAAUUGAUGCUUUGCAGCGGCUUCUGAGCUUGGAGAGACUCCUGGUUUAUUAUCACCUUUCACAAGAUUGAUGAUCUGCAGCGACUUGUUAGCUCGAGGAGUUUCCCGUUGAUGAUCUUUCUCGAGGCUGAAAAUUGUGUUGUAACUGGGAAGGG
Molecule: RNA transcript, 911 nt
Organism: Argentina anserina (silverweed cinquefoil)
Lineage: Eukaryota; Viridiplantae; Streptophyta; Magnoliopsida; Rosales; Rosaceae
Exons: 4
Source: RefSeq, a predicted model, not a curated record